UACGUAGGGGGCAAGCGUUGUCCGGAAUCAUUGGGCGUAUAGCGCGUGUAGGCGGUUCGGUAAGUCUGCUGUGAAAGUCCAGGGCUCAACCCUGGGAUGCCGGCGGAUACUGUCGGACUAGAGUACGGAAGAGGCGAGUGGAAUUCCCGGUGUAGCGGUGAAAUGCGCAGAUAUCGGGAGGAACACCAAUUGCGAAGGCAGCUCGCUGGGACGUCACUGACGCUGAGACGCGAAAGCGUGGGGAGCAAACAGG
RNAcentral lists this ribosomal RNA (253 nucleotides) under uncultured bacterium. RNAcentral describes it as "partial 16S ribosomal RNA". It matches the Rfam family "Bacterial small subunit ribosomal RNA", at positions 524 to 776 of the family's 1533-position model. The record is from RNAcentral.